This 497-nucleotide ribosomal RNA is filed under the name Fusarium oxysporum f. sp. lentis. RNAcentral describes it as "eukaryotic LSU rRNA". The stretch from base 130 to 283 matches the Rfam family "5.8S ribosomal RNA". Lineage: Eukaryota; Fungi; Ascomycota; Sordariomycetes; Hypocreales; Nectriaceae. The record is from RNAcentral.
AACCCCUGUGACAUACCACUUGUUGCCUCGGCGGAUCAGCCCGCUCCCGGUAAAACGGGACGGCCCGCCAGAGGACCCCUAAACUCUGUUUCUAUAUGUAACUUCUGAGUAAAACCAUAAAUAAAUCAAAACUUUCAACAACGGAUCUCUUGGUUCUGGCAUCGAUGAAGAACGCAGCAAAAUGCGAUAAGUAAUGUGAAUUGCAGAAUUCAGUGAAUCAUCGAAUCUUUGAACGCACAUUGCGCCCGCCAGUAUUCUGGCGGGCAUGCCUGUUCGAGCGUCAUUUCAACCCUCAAGCACAGCUUGGUGUUGGGACUCGCGUUAAUUCGCGUUCCUCAAAUUGAUUGGCGGUCACGUCGAGCUUCCAUAGCGUAGUAGUAAAACCCUCGUUACUGGUAAUCGUCGCGGCCACGCCGUUAAACCCCAACUUCUGAAUGUUGACCUCGGAUCAGGUAGGAAUACCCGCUGAACUUAAGCAUAUCAAUAAGACGGAGGAA